This 661-nucleotide ribosomal RNA is filed under the name uncultured bacterium. RNAcentral's name for it is "bacterial SSU rRNA". It matches the Rfam family "Bacterial small subunit ribosomal RNA", at positions 94 to 788 of the family's 1533-position model. The record is from RNAcentral.
AGUGGCGGACGGGUGAGUAACGCGUGAGAAUCUGCCUUCAGGUCGGGGACAACAGAGGGAAACUUCUGCUAAUCCCGGAUGAGCCUUAGGGUAAAAAAUUUAUUGCCUGGAGAUGAGCUCGCGUCUGAUUAGCUAGUUGGUAAGGUAAAAGCUUACCAAGGCAACGAUCAGUAGCUGGUCUGAGAGGAUGAGCAGCCACACUGGGACUGAGACACGGCCCAGACUCCUACGGGAGGCAGCAGUGGGGAAUUUUCCGCAAUGGGCGAAAGCCUGACGGAGCAAGACCGCGUGGGGGAGGAAGGCUCUAGGGUUGUAAACCUCUUUUCUUUGGGAAGAACAAAAUGACGGUACCAAAGGAAUCAGCCUCGGCUAACUCCGUGCCAGCAGCCGCGGUAAUACGGAGGAGGCAAGCGUUAUCCGGAAUGAUUGGGCGUAAAGCGUCCGCAGGUGGCAAUGUAAGUCUGCUGUCAAAACCCAGGGCUCAACUCUGGUCAGGCAGUGGAAACUACAUAGCUAGAGUUCGGUAGGGGCAAAGGGAAUUCCCGGUGUAGCGGUGAAAUGCGUAGAGAUCGGGAAGAACAUCGGUGGCGAAAGCGCUUUGCUAGACCGAAACUGACACUCAGGGACGAAAGCUAGGGGAGCGAAUGGGAUUAGAUACCCC